Molecule: ribosomal RNA, 301 nt
Filed under: uncultured bacterium
Lineage: Bacteria
Description: partial 16S ribosomal RNA
Rfam family: Bacterial small subunit ribosomal RNA
Source: RNAcentral
CGUAGCCACGGGAAUACGGAGGGUGCAAGCGUUAUCCGGAUUUAUUGGGUUUAAAGGGUCCGUAGGCGGACUUAUAAGUCAGUGGUGAAAGCCUGUCGCUUAACGAUAGAACUGCCAUUGAUACUGUAAGUCUUGAGUAUAUUUGAGGUAGCUGGAAUAAGUAGUGUAGCGGUGAAAUGCAUAGAUAUUACUUAGAACACCAAUUGCGAAGGCAGGUUACCAAGAUAUAACUGACGCUGAGGGACGAAAGCGUGGGUAGCGAACAGGAUUAGAUACCCGCGUAGUCCCUGUCUCUUAUACA